RNAcentral lists this long non-coding RNA (777 nucleotides) under Naja naja (Indian cobra). RNAcentral's name for it is "lncRNA (ENSNNAG00000003906.1)". The record is from RNAcentral. Lineage: Eukaryota; Metazoa; Chordata; Lepidosauria; Squamata; Elapidae.
AGUUUCAGACUCUUACAUUUAUGUCUUAUCAAAAACACAACACUUAUCAGUAAUGAACCAUUCAUAAUUAAUUUUAGUGCCACUGCGUGUCAGUGUAUGAAUGAAUGAAAUUUAAGCAAGACACAUAGAAGAGACAGUUUUGUUAAAGGGCUGGAAAACAGUAUGGAAGUUGACUCAUGACAACUGGACUUCUUUUCUUUUUGGUUUGAAGCAUUCCACUGCUGUUUUCUUUUUUCUUUUUCUUCUUCAAACCAAAAACAAAAGUCCAAUUGCUAUGAUUCAACUUCCAGACAGUUCUACCUGGAGAACUGAGAAUCUUCAUCAACAAUCUGGGUGAAUAUUGUGCACUAACGAAAGGAGAAGAAGUUCUGAACUCUGCAACCAGCCCUUUGCGAUUAAACCAAAAUUCUGCAUUUGCACAAGACACUCACCGAGGAGACCGGAGAAGCUAAACCACAACAACACUGACCUGCUUCAGCAUGUGAUGCAAAGGCAAAUAUUAGCAUCAUCCAAGGCCAUCUCAAGAGAUCUAACAUCUGUGAGGUCCAUCAGCUCUUGUCUUAGAGGAAAUUGGGGGAUUGCACCAAAGGAGAAGGAAGGAAGAGACUGGUAAAGAUAACUUGAUCUCUGGAGUUUUUAAAAGGAAGGAAAAUAAAUAAACAUGACCUCCCCUCCCAAGCAACAGAAUCAAAAUCCCAAAAUUCCCUGACUAUUUUACUUCCUUACCUCAUGCAAGAUUUUAAGCCUAAGGUAAGUUCUACCAAUCUUUGUUUUGAG